AUUGAACGCUGGCGGCAGGCCUAACACAUGCAAGUCGAACGGUAACAGGAAGAAGCUUGCUUCUUUGCUGACGAGUGGCGGACGGGUGAGUAAUGUCUGGGAAACUGCCUGAUGGAGGGGGAUAACUACUGGAAACGGUAGCUAAUACCGCAUAAUGUCGCAAGACCAAAGAGGGGGACCUUCGGGCCUCUUGCCAUCGGAUGUGCCCAGAUGGGAUUAGCUAGUAGGUGGGGUAACGGCUCACCUAGGCGACGAUCUCUAGCUGGUCUGAGAGGAUGACCAGCCACACUGGAACUGAGACACGGUCCAGACUCCUACGGGAGGCAGCAGUGGGGAAUAUUGCACAAUGGGCGCAAGCCUGAUGCAGCUAUGCCGCGUGUAUGAAGAAGGCCUUCGGGUUGUAAAGUACUUUCAGCGGGGAGGAAGGGAGUAAAGUUAAUACCUUUGCUCAUUGACGUUACCCGCAGAAGAAGCACCGGCUAACUCCGUG
RNAcentral lists this ribosomal RNA (490 nucleotides) under uncultured bacterium. RNAcentral describes it as "partial 16S ribosomal RNA". It matches the Rfam family "Bacterial small subunit ribosomal RNA", at positions 30 to 507 of the family's 1533-position model. The record is from RNAcentral.